RNAcentral lists this unclassified non-coding RNA (134 nucleotides) under uncultured fungus. RNAcentral describes it as "sequence contains ITS1". The record is from RNAcentral. Lineage: Eukaryota; Fungi.
UUGUUGUUUUAGUAUGAUUUACAUUCGUCACUUUGGGUAUAAAAGGUACCAUUUUCACAGGGUAAGGAUGAAGUGGGCAGCUCUACGCGAGCGCCGAUUCACUAGUGAUCCUUCCGCAGGUUCACCUACGGAAA